CUUAAUAGAGCUGGAUUUGAAGACAAUAUCCAGGGACAAGAGCUUAAAAAUGGAACAUUUACUAACCUAAAGAUUCUUAUCUUCACACAAAAAUCCAGGCAAAGAGAAAGUUUCAACUGAUUUUCGUGAAGCAGUGUGUGCACAGGUCUUCGUAGGCUGAUGUCUUGAUAAUGAGUUGUAUUUUCCACCUGAUACACCAAAUCUUAGCCAUACAGAUGUCUCCCACUAGCAGAAAGGCAGCUGGCCGUGAUGGACAGCUUAUGGUGCUACUCUGCUUUGCAAUGUGGAAGAUGAAGCAAGCUUAGCUGGAUUGCAGGACUGCUGCCAGCUACAGGAGACAGCAUAAUCAACACUUGGCAAAACCUGCCUCAUCCUUCAGCCAAGUGUCUGCCAGCCAGAACCCCACUGCUUGAAGGAUGGUAACACUAAGAAGAGAAUU
Long non-coding RNA from Ficedula albicollis (Collared flycatcher), 439 nucleotides. RefSeq lists it as uncharacterized. NCBI's taxonomy places the organism in Eukaryota, Metazoa, Chordata, Aves, Passeriformes, Muscicapidae. The record is from RefSeq and is a predicted model, not a curated record. The transcript has 3 exons.